This 689-nucleotide ribosomal RNA is filed under the name uncultured Actinobacteridae bacterium. RNAcentral describes it as "bacterial SSU rRNA". It matches the Rfam family "Bacterial small subunit ribosomal RNA", at positions 95 to 798 of the family's 1533-position model. Lineage: Bacteria; Bacillati; Actinomycetota; Actinomycetes. The record is from RNAcentral.
GUGGCGAACGGGUGAGUAACACGUGAGCAACCUGCCCCGGACUCUGGGAUAACAGCUGGAAACAGCUGCUAAUACCGGAUACGAGCUGCGAAGGCAUCUUCAGCAGCUGGAAAGAACUUCGGUCCGGGAUGGGCUCGCGGCCUAUCAGCUAGUUGGUGAGGUAACGGCUCACCAAGGCGUCGACGGGUAGCCGGCCUGAGGGGGUGACCGGCCACACUGGGACUGGGACACGGCCCAGACUCCUACGGGAGGCAGCAGUGGGGAAUAUUGCACAAUGGGCGAAAGCCUGAUGCAGCAACGCCGCGUGAGGGACGACGGCCUUCGGGUUGUAAACCUCUUUUAGCAGGAAAGAAGCGAAAGUGACGGUACCUGCAGAAAAAGCGCCGGCUAACUACGUGCCAGCAGCCGCGGUAAUACGUAGGGCGCAAGCGUUAUCCGGAAUUAUUGGGCGUAAAGAGCUCGUAGGCGGUCUGUCGCGUCUGCUGUGAAAACCCGAGGCUCAACCUCGGGCCUGCAGUGGGUACGGGCAGACUAGAGUGCGGUAGGGGAGAUUGGAAUUCCUGGUGUAGCGGUGGAAUGCGCAGAUAUCAGGAGGAACACCGAUGGCGAAGGCAGAUCUCUGGGCCGUAACUGACGCUGAGGAGCGAAAGGGUGGGGAGCAAACAGGCUUAGAUACCCUGGUAGUCCAC